RNAcentral lists this long non-coding RNA (211 nucleotides) under Rattus norvegicus (Norway rat). Its description in RNAcentral is "long non-coding RNA NONRATT011419". The record is from RNAcentral. Lineage: Eukaryota; Metazoa; Chordata; Mammalia; Rodentia; Muridae.
AGAAUUGUCCCAGGACAGCUACCUCGGUGAUGAGUUUAAAUCACAGAUUGACGUGGCACUCUCACAAGACUCCACAUACCAGGGAGAGCGGGCAUACCAGCACGGCGGGGUCACCGGGCUGUCCCAGUACUAGAAGCGGCGGAAGAGCUAAGCUAUGUGGCUUAGUCUAUCAGCAUCUUAUUCUGGGUAAUAAAAAAUAAAAAUAAAUGGA